GAAACCCUCUGGCAAUUUCAUUCUGUGCUUGGUACUAAAUUCAUGGUUCCAAUUAUUGGAGGGAAGGAACUGGAUUUGUAUCUUCUGUACAUGGAAGUUACCGGGAGAGGUGGUUUUCAGAAGGUGGUUAGAGAAAAGAAAUGGAGGGAUGUGGGUGGAGUUUUCAUGUUCUCUCCCACCACUACAAGCGCUUCUUUUGUGUUGAGAAAGCAUUACAUGAGCCUCCUCUAAUACUAUGAACAGAUCUACUUCUUUAAGCUAUAGGGUCC
Telopea speciosissima is the source of this 269-nucleotide long non-coding RNA. RefSeq lists it as uncharacterized. The record is from RefSeq and is a predicted model, not a curated record. NCBI's taxonomy places the organism in Eukaryota, Viridiplantae, Streptophyta, Magnoliopsida, Proteales, Proteaceae. The transcript is spliced from 3 exons.